GCCUUGAAACACCGGUACCCGUACUAUCAACGAAGUUAAGCAAAGUCGAGCCUGGUCAGUAACUAGAUGGGUGACCACUUUGGAAUACCAGCUGCUGUAA
Acanthosepion pharaonis is the source of this 100-nucleotide non-coding RNA. The record is from the annotation of a GenBank genome assembly. NCBI's taxonomy places the organism in Eukaryota, Metazoa, Mollusca, Cephalopoda, Sepiida, Sepiidae.